Lupinus albus (white lupine) is the source of this 265-nucleotide non-coding RNA. Lineage: Eukaryota; Viridiplantae; Streptophyta; Magnoliopsida; Fabales; Fabaceae. The record is from the annotation of a GenBank genome assembly.
AGGAGUUUUGAUACUCACCUAAGAGCUUGAGAAGAGUUAUGAUCCUAAAGUUGGAGGCGGUGGCGGUGGAACUUGAGAAGUUGUCAAGAACCAAACCCAACACUCACUGAGAUAAACAGGUGACAUGAGGGGGACUCAUUUUUGGGGGAGCUUAGGGAGCUUAUAUUUUGGAAUUUCUUUAUUUGCACUAUUUUGUAUAUGAGUGCUUAUUGAAUUAUUUUGGGAAUAUUUUGUAACUAUGGAUAUAUGACUUAUACGAUUGAUU